CCCAGACUCCUACGGGAGGCAGCAGUGGGGAAUAUUGCACAAUGGGGGAAACCCUGAUGCAGCGACGCCGCGUGAGUGGAGAAGUAUUUCGGUAUGUAAAGCUCUAUCAGCAGGGAAGAAAAUGACGGUACCUGACCAAGAAGCCCCGGCUAACUACGUGCCAGCAGCCGCGGUAAUACGUAGGGGGCAAGCGUUAUCCGGAUUUACUGGGUGUAAAGGGAGCGUAGACGGUGAUGCAAGUCAGAAGUGAAAGCCCGGGGCUCAACUCCGGGACUGCUUUUGAAACUGUGUAACUGGAGUGCAGGAGAGGUAAGCGGAAUUCCUAGUGUAGCGGUGAAAUGCGUAGAUAUUAGGAGGAACACCAGUGGCGAAGGCGGCUUACUGGACUGUAACUGACGUUGAGGCUCGAAAGCGUGGGGAGCAAACAGGAUUAGAUACCCUGGUA
This 445-nucleotide ribosomal RNA is filed under the name uncultured bacterium. Its description in RNAcentral is "bacterial SSU rRNA". It matches the Rfam family "Bacterial small subunit ribosomal RNA", at positions 330 to 792 of the family's 1533-position model. The record is from RNAcentral.